Long non-coding RNA from Ictalurus furcatus (blue catfish), 3224 nucleotides. RefSeq lists it as uncharacterized. NCBI's taxonomy places the organism in Eukaryota, Metazoa, Chordata, Actinopteri, Siluriformes, Ictaluridae. The transcript is spliced from 2 exons. The record is from RefSeq and is a predicted model, not a curated record.
UUAGAACUUAGAACGUAUGAACUUAGCCUAAGUCGUAAACAGAACACGUGGUUUAAAAUGUUAUUAUACUGUUAGGAGACACGAUCUGCAUUGUGAUGGUCUUCCUUCCUACACAAAGCUUUCAAACGUAUUUACCUAAUCUGGAAUCUUUAUAUACGAUUGUUUUAUAUACAAUGGUCUGUCCGAAUACUCGAUUCUGAUUGGCUGGAAGGUGUACGUUCAAACCGUGUAAUGUACAGGUAGUUCCUGUCAGUUUAAUCGCAGUUCUAAAUUAAUGUGCUGCCUAAAAACUGUAACCAUCGUAACAUGCGGUUAUAGUUGCAUACAGUAGUUAAACUCAUAGCUUCGUUAUUAGUAGAGACACGGCACAGAAGCAGGUAAUUCACACGCGCACAAUCUCUCUCUCUCUAAAAACUCUUUAUUAUAAUUCAUUCAUAUAAAUGUAAUCUUAUCGCCCUACUUUAUCUCUUAGUAUGAUUUAGAGUCUGCAGAAUUCUAGACCUGUGGCUGUGGCUCAGGUGGUAGAGCGGGUUGUCCACUAAUCACAGGGUUGGCGCUUUGAUCCCCAGCCCACAUGACUUCACAUGCCGAAGUGUCGUUGGACGUGUGUGUGUGUGUGUGAGAAACAGUGUAAAGCAUUUUGUAGAACUGCUAGGGUUAAAAUGUGCUAUGUAAGUGCAAACUAUUUAUAUAAAAUAAUUAACAAAAAUUAAUUUUAUCUUUUCAGUCAAAUUUUGCGCUUCAAACACCAAAGACAGCUUUAGCUAGUCAAUGCUGGCAAAUGACCAUGGUAUAAGCGGGAUAAUCCACGGCUAGGUGUACGUUACACCAUUUUAAUACACUCCGGUCACUAUUAAUACACUUUAAUACACCAUUUUAAAAUCAUGUAACGCACCCCUAGCCAUGGAUGAUCCCUUACUUAAUCUUCAGAAAUACAGGGUGUGCCACAAGUCUCCAUACGUAGGGGAAAUGAAUACUUUAGCUAAAUGUAACUUUAUUUACAAGAUGUUCUACCUUAGCCCCAAGAGGCAAUCAUGAUCUCAAAAUAACCUAAAGCUGUUUUCUCCCGAGAUCAUUUUAUCAUAAGAAAAUGUCAUGCGUUGUGAAUGGGACUGGUGUUGCUUGCACAGUGGCAUCUUCACCAUCACGAAUGUAAUAAUUGCCCACUGUAGAGAGAGACUUUAUCUCCGCAUUAAGAUAGAUGGGUGUCCACUUCAGUUGUUCGACACUAGUAAAGAAGCGAUCAACCACUGACGGACGUAGAGCUAUUUCAGCUUGAGUGAGUCCUUGAUCAAAGUAAAAACGAAUUUGUUCAUCCAUGAUGCUGCGGGAUCGCGCUAAGCAUUUGCUGCCUUCAGAGCAAUCAAAACGUUAUAACGAGUACACUGAAAAAAGGAGCUCUGAUCACCAGUAAACAACCUUUAUGUCGAGAUUAGGGAUGUGCGCUACAACUAAUUUGACUGACGUUUAAACAGAAGUUUUGUAACCGUCUAGUCUAAAAGUAAGAAACCCCCAGAAGUCACUCACAAACUUUGUGUGUAUAUAUGUAUAGAUCCAUUUUAAAUACUUAAUCUAUGAAUCAAACAGUCAAAUCCCGUAAUUACUGUAGAACAGUUCGUUGUUAUUGCUACAUACUGUGUUCUCCAUGGUCUCUUUCAUAUUCGCGAGCACAUUCUGAUGCACCAGCUCUAACCUUGACGUGAUCUUUUUCCGCCCUGGUGUUGUGUAUUCAGUCUUGACGAUGUCCAUCAAUUUUCAGAGGCCUUCUCCCUCAACAAAACUGAGUGGUAGCAUGUCUCUUGCAGUCAUCUCUGAGAUAAGCUUGGUUAUUUUUUCAGAGCAGAUAGGAUGACGGCGAGUUGAAGUGAUGUACUCGAUGGGCAUUCGCUUGCUUCGGCUAGUUUCUCCUAUGCUAACACCUACAUGCCUGUGCUGUAUACGGUUACGCACGGCUCCGUUGGAAUUAUUAUAUGCCAGUUUGACAUGACCUAGCAUGCAUAAACUUCAGUUUUCUUGUAAGUCAAAAUACUCCCACACCUUGCUCGUCUUUCCAGUGGUCAUUUCUGAGCCGUCGUGACUGACCCGGAGAAAAUGCGAGAUCUGAGGUGUGUGGUGUUAUCAUGCCAAGAUCUAAAGAGUUCUGUAAGGCCUUCAGAAAAAGGUUGUGGAUGCCUGCGAGUCUGGCAAGGGAUUUAAAAAGAUCUCAAGAUUAUUUGAAAUACAACAUUCCACUGUAAGGGAAAUCAUCUACAAAUGGCGCCAAUUUCAGACGACUGCCAGUUUCUCCAGGAUUGGCCAUCCCAGCAAAAUCAGACGGUCUUGCAUCAGAGCAGUCCGUCUGAUGCAAAAAGAACUCUCCAAAAACCCCAAAAAUUUCAUCACAGGAUCUGCUAGUAAGUCUUGCAACUGUUGGUGUCAAAGUGCAUGCUUCUACAAUCAGAAAGAGAUUGCACAAAUUUGACCUGCAUGGGAGAUGUGCCAGGAAAAAGCUUUUGCUGUCUAAAAAGAAGAGCAAGACUACAGUUUGCCAAGGAGCAUAUAGGCAAAGACCAGGCCUUUUGGAAUAAAGCACUCUGGACAGACGAAUCAAAGAUAGAGUUGAUUGGCCACAAUAACAGUAGACGUGUUUGGUGAUGACCAAAGACAGCUUUUCAGAAGAAGCACCUUAUACCAACUGUUAAGCACGGUGGUGGAAAUGUUGUGGUUUGGGGUUGCUUCGCUACCUCUGGGAAUGGACAGCUUGCAUUUAUUGAUUCAACUAUGAAUUCUGCAUCAUAUCAAAGAGUACUUGAAGAUAAUGUGAGGCCAUCUGUCCAAAAGUUGAAGUUGAACUGAAAGUGGGCCUUUCACCAGGAAAAUGAUCCUAAUCACACUAGCAAAUCCACCAAGGAAUGGUGCAUAAAGAAGAAAUGGAGGGUUAUGGAAUGACCUAGUCAAAGCCCAGAUUUGAAUCUCAUUGAAAUGUUCUGGGGAUGAUUUCAGAUGUGCAAUACAUGCCAGAAAACCUUUAAACAUUUUGCAACUGAAAGAAUAUUGCAUGGAAGAGUGGUCAAAAAUUCAAGCAAACCUAGUGGACAAUUAUGCAAAACGCCUACAAGAAGUUAUUUCUGCUAAAGGGGGCAAUACUAGCUUCUGAGGCCAUGGGUGUACUUACUUUUUCCACAAAAGAAUGUUAUCAUAUUGUCUAUUGAUAUUUCUGUUGAAUAAAUGAUUGAAAAGGCUCA